RNAcentral lists this ribosomal RNA (520 nucleotides) under uncultured Glomus. Its description in RNAcentral is "SSU rRNA". It matches the Rfam family "Eukaryotic small subunit ribosomal RNA", at positions 569 to 1091 of the family's 1831-position model. Lineage: Eukaryota; Fungi; Glomeromycota; Glomeromycetes; Glomerales; Glomeraceae. The record is from RNAcentral.
AGCAGCCGCGGUAAUUCCAGCUCCAAUAGCGUAUAUUAAAGUUGCUGCAGUUAAAAAGCUCGUAGUUGAAUUUCGGGACCAAUAUGUCGGUCGUGCCUCGGUACGUACUGGCAUCGUUGGUUUCUCCCUUCUGACGAACCAUGAUGUCAUUUAUUUGGUGUCGUGGGGAACCAGGACUGUUACUUUGAAAAAAUUAGAGUGUUUAAAGCAGGCUCACGCUUGAAUACAUUAGCAUGGAAUAAUGAAAUAGGACGUUUGAUUCUAUUUUGUUGGUUUCUAGGAUCGACGUAAUGAUUAAUAGGGAUAGUUGGGGGCAUUAGUAUUCAAUUGUCAGAGGUGAAAUUCUUGGAUUUAUUGAAGACUAACUACUGCGAAAGCAUUUGCCAAGGAUGUUUUCAUUAAUCAAGAACGAAAGUUAGGGGAUCGAAGACGAUCAGAUACCGUCGUAGUCUUAAACCAUAAACUAUGCCGACUAGGGAUCGGAUGAUGUUAAUUUUUAAUGACUCAUUCGGCGCCUUAA